Molecule: ribosomal RNA, 163 nt
Filed under: Viola nanlingensis
Lineage: Eukaryota; Viridiplantae; Streptophyta; Magnoliopsida; Malpighiales; Violaceae
Description: 5.8S ribosomal RNA
Rfam family: 5.8S ribosomal RNA
About the family: 5.8S ribosomal RNA (5.8S rRNA) is a component of the large subunit of the eukaryotic ribosome. It is transcribed by RNA polymerase I as part of the 45S precursor that also contains 18S and 28S rRNA.
Source: RNAcentral
AAAUGACUCUCGGCAACGGAUAUCUCGGCUCUCGCAUCGAUGAAGAACGUAGCGAAAUGCGAUACUUGGUGUGAAUUGCAGAAUCCCGUGAAUCAUCGAGUCUUUGAACGCAAGUUGCGCCCGAAGCCUUUCGGCCGAGGGCACGUCUGCCUGGGUGUCACGC